Long non-coding RNA from Dermacentor silvarum, 240 nucleotides. RefSeq lists it as uncharacterized. Lineage: Eukaryota; Metazoa; Arthropoda; Arachnida; Ixodida; Ixodidae. The record is from RefSeq and is a predicted model, not a curated record. The transcript is spliced from 3 exons.
UGCGCGAAUCAGCCACUUGAAAUACAGUUGCUGUUCGUGAAAGAAGCAAUGAAGGCUCUACGUAUCAUUUUCCUCGUAGCUGCUGUUGUUGCUGAAACACGGAAGGAAGUUACGGAAGUUUUAUUCCCACCUGAUUGUACCAGCGACAGCGAUUGCCGAGUAUUACUCACAUACAGGAUAACGCACCCGUGCGCAAAACAUGUAAGUGAGAAACUUUAUGUUGUCAUAACGUAAUUCCGG